RNAcentral lists this ribosomal RNA (445 nucleotides) under uncultured bacterium. RNAcentral's name for it is "partial 16S ribosomal RNA". It matches the Rfam family "Bacterial small subunit ribosomal RNA", at positions 354 to 796 of the family's 1533-position model. The record is from RNAcentral.
GUGAGGAAUAUUGGACAAUGGGCGCAAGCCUGAUCCAGCCAUGCCGCGUGCAGGAAGAAGCAUCUAUGGUGUGUAAACUGCUUUUGUACGGGAAGAAACACUCCUUCGUGAAGGAGCUUGACGGUACCGUAAGAAUAAGGAUCGGCUAACUCCGUGCCAGCAGCCGCGGUAAUACGGAGGAUCCAAGCGUUAUCCGGAAUCAUUGGGUUUAAAGGGUCCGUAGGCGGUUUGGUAAGUCAGUGGUGAAAGCCCGCAGCUCAACUGUGGAACGGCCAUUGAUACUGCCAGACUUGAAUUACAAGGAAGUGACUAGAAUAUGUAGUGUAGCGGUGAAAUGCUUAGAUAUUACAUGGAAUACCAAUUGCGAAGGCAGGUUACUACUUGUGGAUUGACGCUGAUGGACGAAAGCGUGGGGAGCGAACAGGAUUAGAUACCCCAGUAGUCC